AGUUUAAGCCGGACGAAGGGAAGAAUCCGAUGGCUGGCAUCAUGGACCUGAUGAAGAAUAUGUACGACGAGGGCGACGAUAACAUGAAGAAAACGAUUGCUCAGGCGUGGACCGACGCAAGAGCCAAGCAGGGAGGACUGUGAAUCCUUUCGUUUUAAGAUUGGAUGAUUUCCUCGCUGCGAAAUUAGUCUAUCAUGUUGUUACUGAUCGUGGAUUGUGCUCAGCGUUUAUCCCUCUGCUAACAGAGUGUACAAAGUUUGCUCAGGCUCGCGAAGUUCAUUGGUAGGGCAACAAGGUGCCAGAGUAGCUCAUUUGGUUAGAGCGUGUGACUGAAAAUCACAAGGUCGGUGGUUCAAUCCCACUCUCUGGCAUAAAGCUGUAUGGUAGUCAUCUAGUCUAUGGUUUUGUUUUUGGCAUAAUGUUGCAUUGUAUUCUUGCUGCAAGCUCUAGUCUAGAUUUUUUCAAGAAGAAACAGACCUAGGUUGAUCUUGGAAGGAUCAUGCGCUUGGAAGUUUUUUGCUACAUUAUAUUG
Molecule: long non-coding RNA, 532 nt
Organism: Selaginella moellendorffii
Lineage: Eukaryota; Viridiplantae; Streptophyta; Lycopodiopsida; Selaginellales; Selaginellaceae
Exons: 3
Source: RefSeq, a predicted model, not a curated record